AACGAACGCUGGCGGCAUGCCUAACACAUGCAAGUCGAACGAGACCUUCGGGUCUAGUGGCGCACGGGUGCGUAACGCGUGGGAACCUGCCCUUAGGUUCGGAAUCACUCCCCGUAAGGGGUGCUAAUACCGGAUAAUGUCUUCGGACCAAAGAUUUAUCGCCUUUGGAUGGGCCCGCGUUGGAUUAGCUAGUUGGUAGGGUAAAAGCCUACCAAGGCGACGUUCCAUAGCUGGUCUGAGAGGAUGAUCAGCCACACUGGGACUGAGACACGGCCCAGCCUCCUACGGGAGGCAGCAGUGGGGAAUAUUAUACAAGGGGCGAAAGCCUGAUCCAGCAAUGCCGCGUGAGUGAUGAAGGCCGUAGGGUUGUAAAGCUCUUUUACCCGGGAUGAUAAUGACAGUACCGGGAGAAUAAGCUCCGGCUAACUCCGUG
RNAcentral lists this ribosomal RNA (433 nucleotides) under uncultured bacterium. Its description in RNAcentral is "partial 16S ribosomal RNA". It matches the Rfam family "Bacterial small subunit ribosomal RNA", at positions 29 to 507 of the family's 1533-position model. The record is from RNAcentral.